GAUAAACUACGCCGACUCUGAUGAUUGUCCGUGAAGGAGGAGCCUUUACCGCUGUCGCGCUACAUCGACUCUGAUAAAGACUCGCGUGUGUUCUCGCUAGAAAAACGAUGUAAUAGGCUUGUUGACCAAGAGUUGUAAAGUAAAUGUGUUGUAAUCUUGUUUCUCACGAUGUAUGACUACGAUAACAGCUGAUAUAUGAUAAUGCGAUGGUUCAAUUUUUGAAUUAUCACAUUAUAAUUCGAAUCUGUGGAUUUUU
Molecule: long non-coding RNA, 256 nt
Filed under: Sorghum bicolor (sorghum)
Lineage: Eukaryota; Viridiplantae; Streptophyta; Magnoliopsida; Poales; Poaceae
Description: long non-coding RNA (SBIC_LNC011102)
Source: RNAcentral